RNAcentral lists this ribosomal RNA (1591 nucleotides) under activated sludge metagenome. Its description in RNAcentral is "bacterial LSU rRNA". It matches the Rfam family "Bacterial large subunit ribosomal RNA", at positions 510 to 2086 of the family's 2925-position model. The record is from RNAcentral.
AAAGGUGAAAAGAACCCCGGGAGGGGAGUGAAAUAGAUCCUGAAACUAUGUGCCUACAAAGAAUGGGAGCUCUUCGGAGUGACCAUGUGCCUUUUGGAGAAGGAACCAACGACUUACGUAUAUGUGGCAAGGUUAAGGCAGAUACAGCCGGAGCCGUAGGGAAACCAAGUCUGAAUAGGGCGAUCAGUCACGUAUAGUAGACCCGAAACCCGUGUGAGCUACUCAUGAGCAGGCUGAAGGUGAGGUACAACUUACUGGAGGGCCGAACCAAUUAGAGCUGCAAGUCUAUUGGAUGACUUGUGAGUAGGAGUGAAAAGCUAAUCGAACCGGGAGAUAGCUGGUUCUCCGCGAAAUAUAUUUAGGUAUAGCGUAUAAUAGUAACAGAGAGGGGUAGGGCUCUGAUAAGACUAGCGGGUCUAUCCGACUUAGCAAAUCUUGAUAAACUUCGAAUACUCUCUGCGCAAAUAUUAUACAGUCGGACAGUGACGGAUAAGCGCCAUUGUCAAAAGGGAAACAGCCCAGAUUCCUGUCUAAGGUCCCCAAGUUAUAACUCAGUGGAAAAGGAUGUGCGAUUACUAAGACAGCCAGGAUGUUGGCUUAGAAGCAGCCACUCAUUCAAAGAGUGCGUAAUAGCUCACUGGUCGAGUGAUUGUGCGCCGAAGAUUCAGCGGGGCUUAAGUUAUACACCGAAGACGGAAGAUCAAUAUUUAAUUAUGGAUCGGUAGCGGAGCGUUCUGUAGGCCUGUGAAGCAGUCGGAUAACCGACUGUGGAGGUAUCAGAAGUGCAAAUGUUGGUAUGAGUAACGUAAUGGAGGUGAAAACCCUCCACACCGAAUACCCAAGGUUUCCUGUCCUACGUCAGUCGUGGCAGGGUUAGUCGGUCCUAAGGGGCAGCCGAAAGGCGUUACCUGAUGGAUAUCUGGUUAAUAUUCCAGAACUUUAUAUGAAAGGUUAUUACCUAUGUGGAGACGCAUCUCAAGUAUUGGACACGGUCAUGAAUACCCGUGAAGAGUGUUGCUUUUGGUUAUGCAGGCAAAUCCGCAUAACAAUACAGGAGUAGCAUGAUUGCAUAGAAAACAAAGCUUCGGCAGAGUCGACUAUGCUCCUACAAUAUAAGGGUGCCAAGAAAACCCACUAUGGGACGAUCAUAUAGAACCGUACCGAAAUCGAACACUCGUGGGUGGGUGUGAGUACACUAAGGUGGACGGGAUAACUAGGCUUAAGGAACUCUGCAAAACAGCGGUCGUAACUUCGGGAUAAGACCUGCCUCCCUGCCACUUAUGCAGGAGGCCGCAGCGAACGAGUCCAGGCGACUGUUUACCAAAAACACAGCUCUCUGCUAAAUCGCAAGAUGAUGUAUAGGGGGUGAUGCCUGUCCGGUGCCAGAAGAUUACGGGGAGGGGUGCAAGCUCUGAACUUAAGUCCUGGUGAACGGCGGCCGUAACUAUAACGGUCCUAAGGUAGCGAAAUUCCUUGUCGGGUAAGUUCCGACCCGCACGAACGGCAUAACGAUCUGGACACUGUCUCAAGCCUAGGCCCGGUGAAAUUGCAAUAUCGGUAAAAAUGCCGAUUACUCGCAGCAAGACGGAAA